Molecule: long non-coding RNA, 163 nt
Organism: Telopea speciosissima
Lineage: Eukaryota; Viridiplantae; Streptophyta; Magnoliopsida; Proteales; Proteaceae
Exons: 2
Source: RefSeq, a predicted model, not a curated record
AGUGCCCAUGGAUCCAUCUAUCUCGAUCGGAAAAUAAUCAGUAGAAAAAGAAAGAAUCGGAAUUGAUUGAUAUCUUUCUCGAAACAAACGAAAAGGAAAUGAAAGAUAAAACAUAAAUCAUGGAUCAACUAAGCCCUCUCGGGGCUUGCUUAAGAAUAAGAAA